CUUCGGCUUAAAGAGGGGGACCUUCGGGCCUCUCGCGUCAGGAUAUGCCCAGGUGGGAUUAGCUAGUUGGUGGGGUAAGGGCUCACCAAGGCGACGAUCUCUAGCUGGUCUGAGAGGAUGAUCAGCCACACUGGAACUGAGACACGGUCCAGACUCCUACGGGAGGCAGCAGUGGGGAAUAUUGCACAAUGGGCGCAAGCCUGAUGCAGCCAUGCCGCGUGUAUGAAGAAGGCCUUCGGGUUGUAAAGUACUUUCAGUGGUGAGGAAGGUAGUGUGUUUAAUAGGCACAUUCUUUGACGUUAGCCACAGAAGAAGCACCGGCUAACUCCGUGCCAGCAGCCGCGGUAAUACGGAGGGUGCGAGCGUUAAUCGGAAUUACUGGGCGUAAAGCGCAUGCAGGUGGUCUGUUAAGUCAGAUGUGAAAGCCCGGGGCUUAACCUCGGAAUAGCAUUUGAAACUGUCAGACUAGAGUACUGUAGAGGGGGGUAGAAUUUCAGGUGUAGCGGUGAAAUGCGUAGAGAUCUGAAGGAAUACCGGUGGCGAAGGCGGCCCCCUGGACAGAUACUGACACUCAGAUGCGAAAGCGUGGGGAGCAAACAGGAUUAGAUACCCUGGUAGUCCACGCCGUAAACGAUGUCUACUUGGAGGUUGUGGCCUUGAGCCGUGGCUUUCGGAGCUAACGCGUUAAGUAGACCGCCUGGGGAGUACGGUCGCAAGAUUAAAACUCAAAUGAAUUGACGGGGGCCCGCACAAGCGGUGGAGCAUGUGGUUUAAUUCGAUGCAACGCGAAGAACCUUACCUACUCUUGACAUCUACAGAAGCUUGCGGAGACGCGAGUGUGCCUUCGGGAACUGUAAGACAGGUGCUGCAUGGCUGUCGUCAGCUCGUGUUGUGAAAUGUUGGGUUAAGUCCCGCAACGAGCGCAACCCUUAUCCUUGUUUGCCAGCACGUUAUGGUGGGAACUCCAGGGAGACUGCCGGUGAUAAACCGG
Molecule: ribosomal RNA, 991 nt
Filed under: Vibrio sp. C31a-2b
Lineage: Bacteria; Pseudomonadati; Pseudomonadota; Gammaproteobacteria; Vibrionales; Vibrionaceae
Description: bacterial SSU rRNA
Rfam family: Bacterial small subunit ribosomal RNA
Source: RNAcentral